RNAcentral lists this ribosomal RNA (253 nucleotides) under uncultured bacterium. Its description in RNAcentral is "partial 16S ribosomal RNA". It matches the Rfam family "Bacterial small subunit ribosomal RNA", at positions 524 to 776 of the family's 1533-position model. The record is from RNAcentral.
CACGUAGGGUGCAAGCGUUGUCCGGAAUUAUUGGGCGUAAAGAGCUCGUAGGCGGUCUGUCGCGUCGGCUGUGAAAACCCGGAGCUCAACUCCGGACCUGCAGUCGAUACGGGCAAACUGGAGUACUGCAGGGGAGACUGGAAUUCCUGGUGUAGCGGUGAAAUGCGCAGAUAUCAGGAGGAACACCGGUGGCGAAGGCGGGUCUCUGGGCAGUAACUGACGCUGAGGAGCGAAAGCGUGGGGAGCGAACAGG